GUGGGCCUAGGAUCGAAGCGUCACUGCCGGUGGGCUGGUUUCCGGUGGACGGAGGGUGUUGGAGGUUGAAAGUUGUUUGGUGUCUGCGCCAUGGGUUACAGCGGCCUGACAGUGCCCAUUAUCGUCCUCACCGUCUUCUGGGGCGUCGUGGGCGGUGUUGUGCCUUGGUUCAUUCCUAAAGGACCGAAUAGAGGUGUUAUUAAUACUAUGCUUGUGACAAGUGCUGUUUGCUGCUACCUUUUCUGGCUCAUUGCAAUCCUGUCCCAAUUAAACCCCCUUUUUGGUCCACAAUUGAAAAAUGAAACAAUCUGGUACUUGCUCCAUGAAUGGCCAUGAAUUCAUCAGCAAAUAUUUUUCUAUGGAGAUCAGGUUCAAUCUUGCCUCCUUGCUUUGUGUUCUAUGCCUCACAAAUGGCAUCCUAUGUGACUGUGACAAAGAGAAAGAAGAUACCUUUUAAAAUCACUACAAAUGAUUAAUUUCUUUUGCAUCUGAGCAGCCUUCUUAAAUGGAAACUUUUCCAAACUGCGUUCAACAGCAGUCGAUUAUGUGGAAUUUUACAUUCUGAUUUGAGAGAUUUUGGAAUUGACUCUUGAAUUUGAAGUAAUAAGACUAACAUGAAUAUUUAGCAGUAAUGUAUUGGAAAUCUAAAUGCGUCUUAAACUCCUCAGCUGUAGAGCAUUUUGGACAAUUUUUAUAACAUUUAUACUAAGAUGUGAAAAAAACCACCAGAAUGUAGUUCUGUGGGGAAAUGUCAUUUGUUUCAAACAAAUGUUUAUUUUCUGGGGUCUUAUUUUUGUACUAACCUGACUGUGUACUGCUAUAGGAAUAUGCAGGUUUAGUUAAAACGCCUAUAUACUGCUUUCAUAUUUCUUGCCUUCUGUUGUUUACUAAAAUCAAAAUUCAUUUCAAAUCUGAUCCUGGAAACAAUUUAAUAAAUACUUAUUGAAAAA
Carcharodon carcharias (great white shark) is the source of this 950-nucleotide RNA transcript. It is a transcript of the gene named ATPase H+ transporting V0 subunit e1, with no coding region annotated. Lineage: Eukaryota; Metazoa; Chordata; Chondrichthyes; Lamniformes; Lamnidae. The record is from RefSeq and is a predicted model, not a curated record. The transcript is spliced from 5 exons.